Long non-coding RNA from Oncorhynchus tshawytscha (Chinook salmon), 656 nucleotides. Lineage: Eukaryota; Metazoa; Chordata; Actinopteri; Salmoniformes; Salmonidae. The record is from Ensembl.
CCAGGACGCCACCCAGGACGCCACCCAGGACGCCACCCAGGACACAAACACUAUGGUGGAAACCUUCUGCCGUCCCAUGUGACAAAAGCAGCCGUGCGGCGUCAUGGAAACGAUGACAACACUUGUGUUUCGAAGAUGAUUCUUUUAUUUAUGCAGUUCUGCUGCUCUGCACAUCUGUAGGUGCACUAUCCUUCUGACCCAAUGACCCAAUGCAGCCAGGUCCCAUCUCCUUUUUAUCUCCUCGCAAGUGUGGCUUGUUUGGUGUCUGCUGUGAAUGAAAACCACAACAAGUCAACUACUUGAUUGAUGAAGGCACGUCAUCCAGCAAAGGCAGCAGUGCAGUCAUCAACUACAUCAACUACUGCACCAUUUCUUCACCAACUAUGGAGUUGGGGAAACACAUGUGGACCUGAAUUGUGAAAACUGCAGUGGCCAAAACAAGAACAAGGUUAUGCUCUGGUAUUGAGUCUGGUGGACCAUGCACAAGCUCCACCACAGUCUGGACCUUCACUUCCUGAUCACAGGCCACACCAAGUUUGCCCCUGACUGGUGCUUCGGGCUCAUCAAGCAGCGCUUCAGAAAGACCAGAGUGAACACUGUCUGAGAUUGCUGGUGUUGUGAAGGACAGCACUGUGACAGGGGUCACCAUCCCACAG